RNAcentral lists this ribosomal RNA (253 nucleotides) under uncultured bacterium. RNAcentral describes it as "partial 16S ribosomal RNA". It matches the Rfam family "Bacterial small subunit ribosomal RNA", at positions 524 to 776 of the family's 1533-position model. The record is from RNAcentral.
UACGGAGGGUGCGAACGUUAAUCGGAAUCACUGGGCGUAAAGCGCGCGUAGGCGGUUUGUUAAGUGGGAUGUGAAAUCCCCGGGCUUAACCUGGGAACUGCACUUGAAACUACGAUGCUGGAGUAUGGCAGAGGGAGGUGGAAUUCCACGUGUAGCGGUGAAAUGCGUAGAGAUGUGGAGGAACACCGAUGGCGAAGGCAGCCUCCUGGGCCAAUACUGACGCUCAUGCACGAAAGCGUGGGGAGCAAACAGG